GCGCGUAAAUUGCCCGAAUCCUGACACAGGGAGGUAGUGACAAGAAAUAACAAUACAGGGCUCUUCGAGUCUUGUAAUUGGAAUGAGUACAAUUUACAUCUCUUCACGAGGAUCAAUUGGAGGGCAAGUCUGGUGCCAGCAGCCGCGGUAAUUCCAGCUCCAAUAGCGUAUACUAAAGUUGUUGCAGUUAAAACGCUCGUAGUCGGAUUUCGGGGCGGGCCCGCCGGUCUGCCGAUGGGUAUGCACUGGCGGGCGCGUCCUUCCUCCCGGAGACGGCUGCUACUCUUAACUGAGCGGUGGCCGGAGACGGGAUGUUUACUUUGAAAAAAUCAGAGUGUUUCAAGCAGGCAGUCGCUCUUGCAUGGAUUAGCAUGGGAUAAUGAAAUAGGACUCUGGUGCUAUUUUGUUGGUUUCGAGCACCGGAGUAAUGAUUAACAGGGACAGUCAGGGGCACUCGUAUUCC
This 463-nucleotide ribosomal RNA is filed under the name Haptophyta environmental samples. RNAcentral describes it as "SSU rRNA". It matches the Rfam family "Eukaryotic small subunit ribosomal RNA", at positions 432 to 900 of the family's 1831-position model. Lineage: Eukaryota; Haptophyta. The record is from RNAcentral.